Long non-coding RNA from Ananas comosus (pineapple), 1061 nucleotides. RefSeq lists it as uncharacterized. The record is from RefSeq and is a predicted model, not a curated record. NCBI's taxonomy places the organism in Eukaryota, Viridiplantae, Streptophyta, Magnoliopsida, Poales, Bromeliaceae. The transcript is spliced from 6 exons.
UAUCUUCUUGAGCCCCUGGUCGACCCCUGAGCUUGACCUUAUCCCUCUGGAGCUGAGGAUAAGGCAAGAGCUCUCUUCUCUCUUUCUCUCUCUAAGUUUUCCAUUUUGAAGUGGAAAACUAGUGGAUUUGAGCUUGAUUCUUCUUUCUCCUUUAUGCUUGCUGGUUGGGAAGCCUUGGAAUUAAGUUUUGCUGGGGAAGAGAGGGACUUCAAAGAGGUUUUGGAGCCCUAGUACAGCAGGUAGUUGGGGUGUAACUUGCUAUUUGGAGCUGUUAGAGGAGUAUGGGAAGAGACUUUUGGCAAGGUUUUCUUCAGCACUAACUCAGCAGGAGCUGAGUUGAAGCAUCGGAAAAGUGGACUAGUAACUUUCCUCUCUAAGUUUUAUGUAUAGUAGUUGUAGUAGUGGUUUGAGCUUGUGUUUGUCUUUGUGCUGACAGCUGAGUAGGGAAAACUCACAGCAAUAUUGAAGGGGUAUUUUGGCUGCGAUAUCUUAGUCCUAACCCAGUCAAAGCUGAGUUAGAGUUGGAUUUGGUAAACAGAAUUUGCAACAGGCUAUUGGAUUACUUUGGGCUGAAACUCGUGAGCUCCAGAAGAGUAAAUUUGAUGUGCUCCAACCUGAAUUUGAGAGAAAUUCAAGUUGGAUUCUAUUCAAGUAGUUGUUAGGGUACUGGACGGCCUCGGAUCACUUUGAAGUGAGUCUUGGUGACUCUUAAAGGCUGAUUUUGAAGAACUUCAACUUGAGUUGAAGUAAAGUUCAAGAGCGAAUUCUAAACUAGGAUACUUGGAAGCUAGAGAACAUUUUGCUUACAAGAUCGAUGAGAGCCGACAACGAAUUGAGUCUUCCAUAGCGAGAGAGGUAGGGUUCGCGGCAAGAGGUUGGCGACUAGCUAGAGCCAUAUGGAAAUACUUUAGAUGGACCCGAUGUCAUCAUUCCGUUUUGUACCGAUGGAAAUGAUGUAUUUUGUAUUUGUAUUUGUUUUACAGUUCUAGUCUGAUUCUUGGUUUUAGUUGUUUUUAUGGAUCUCCUUAUAAUAAACUUUAGUAGUUUUACACUAUUUGCUC